Molecule: ribosomal RNA, 253 nt
Filed under: uncultured bacterium
Lineage: Bacteria
Description: partial 16S ribosomal RNA
Rfam family: Bacterial small subunit ribosomal RNA
Source: RNAcentral
UACGGAGGGGGCUAGCGUUGUUCGGAAUUACUGGGCGUAAAGCGCACGUAGGCGGCUUUGUAAGUUAGAGGUGAAAGCCCAGGGCUUAACCCUGGAAUUGCCUUUAAGACUGCAUCGCUAGAAUCGUGGAGAGGUGAGUGGAAUUCCGAGUGUAGAGGUGAAAUUCGUAGAUAUUGGGAAGAACACCGGUGGCGAAGGCGGCUCACUGGCUCGUUUCUGACGCUCAGGCGCGACAGCGUGGGGAUCAAACAGG